AUAUUUUUCCCAGACGCGGAGGUUGGGGUCAUGGCGCCCCGAAGCCUCCUCCUGCUGCUCUCAGGGGCCCUGGCCCUGACCGAGACUUGGGCAGCGACGCCGCGAUUCCGAGGAUGGAGCCUCGGGAGCCGUGGGUGGAGCAAGAGGGGCCGCAGUAUUGGGAGAGGACCACAGGAUACGCGAAGGCCAACGCACAGACUGACCGAGUGGCCCUGAGGAACCUGCUCCGCCGCUACAACCAGAGCGAGGCCGGGUCUCACACCCUCCAGGGAAUGAAUGGCUGCGACAUGGGGCCCGACGGACGCCUCCUUCGCGGGUAUCACCAGCACGCGUACGACGGCAAGGAUUACAUCUCCCUGAACGAGGACCUGCGCUCCUGGACCGCGGCGGACACCGUGGCUCAGAUCACCCAGCGCUUCUAUGAGGCAGAGGAAUAUGCAGAGGAGUUCAGGACCUACCUGGAGGGCGAGUGCCUGGAGUUGCUCCGCAGAUACUUGGAGAACGGGAAGGAGACGCUACAGCGCGCAGAUCCUCCAAAGGCACACAUUGCCCACCACCCCAUCUCUGACCAUGAGGCCACCCUGA
This 585-nucleotide small RNA is filed under the name Pan troglodytes (chimpanzee). RNAcentral describes it as "processed transcript". Lineage: Eukaryota; Metazoa; Chordata; Mammalia; Primates; Hominidae. The record is from RNAcentral.